GACGUAGGGCGCGAGCGUUGUCCGGAUUUAUUGGGCGUAAAGAGCUCGUAGGCGGCUUGUCGCGUCGAAUGUGAAAUUUUAGGGCUCAACCCUGACAUUGCAUUCGAUACGGGCAGGCUUGAGUUCGGUAGGGGAGACUGGAAUUCCUGGUGUAGCGGUGAAAUGCGCAGAUAUCAGGAGGAACACCAAUGGCGAAGGCAGCACUCUGGGACGGUACUGACGCUGAGACGCGAAAGCGUGGGGAGCAAACAGG
This 253-nucleotide ribosomal RNA is filed under the name uncultured bacterium. Its description in RNAcentral is "partial 16S ribosomal RNA". It matches the Rfam family "Bacterial small subunit ribosomal RNA", at positions 524 to 776 of the family's 1533-position model. The record is from RNAcentral.